GUCAAGAAUCUUCCUCAAUGGCCGAAAGGCUGAAGGAGCAAUGCCGCGUGAUCGAAGAAGCCCUUCGGGGUGUAAAGAUCUUUUUUCAGGGACGAAUUCGUGACGGUACCUGAAGAAUAAGCCACUGCUAACUUCGUGCCAGCAGCAGCGGUAAUACGAAGGUGGCAAGCGUUAUCCGGAAUAAUUGGGCGUAAAGCGUCCGCAGACGGUUCGAUACGUCGUGGGUUAAAUCCAAGGGCUCAACCCUUGGGCUGCUCACGAAACGAUCAUUCUCGAGGCCGGAAGAGGCGAGCGGAAUUACCGGUGUAGCGGUAAAAUGCGUUAAUAUCGGUAAGAACACCAAAUGCGAAAGCAGCUCGCUAGUACGGUUCUGACGUUCAGGGACGAAAGCGUGGGGAGCGAAUGGGAUUAGAUACCCCGGUAGUCC
Molecule: ribosomal RNA, 427 nt
Filed under: uncultured bacterium
Lineage: Bacteria
Description: bacterial SSU rRNA
Rfam family: Bacterial small subunit ribosomal RNA
Source: RNAcentral